This 3503-nucleotide long non-coding RNA is filed under the name Gossypium barbadense (sea-island cotton). RNAcentral's name for it is "long non-coding RNA (GBAR_LNC011048)". The record is from RNAcentral. Lineage: Eukaryota; Viridiplantae; Streptophyta; Magnoliopsida; Malvales; Malvaceae.
UGAGUAUUUUGCCAUACAUGCCACAUUCAAAACACACAAGCCAUUUUACCAAUUUAGGCCUUCGGAUAGUGUGGACGAGUCUUCGACUUAUCCCGAUUCUCAAGCCGACUUGUCAACAACUACAAUGAAUGAAAAGAAGGGGUAAGCAGUAAGUUCACAUGCAAAUAGCAAGUAACAUAAUCAUGCAAUUCCACAUAAAACAUCAUUUGUAUAAACAACACCAAGACAUUCAUGUUUCAUUUGCAUUUAAUAUCUUUCUACGAUUUCAUCAUACCAAGUUCUCAACCCGAGGAUUUAAGCACAUACCUGUCAAAUUUUCUCAUUCACCACACUUACCAAUAUGUCACCUUCGUUUUAGGCAUUCUUCUCAUUCACUUAAGAUUCACCCGUUGAACAUAUCGGAAUAUAAUUCGAAUACGCGGAUUUCAUGAACGUAAGUGCCAUACCCGCAGCUAGACAAACUCAAUAGCCUGCGGAACUUAUGUAGCCAAGCUACCAUGUAACCCGCCCAUAAGUGAACUUGGAUUCAACUCAACGAGCUCGGGCGUUCGCAUCCAUAAGUGAACUCGGACUCAACUUAACGAGUUCGGAUGCCUAGUUACAUCUCACGAACUCGGACUCACGAACUCGGACUCAACUCAAUGAGUUCGGAACUCAAGUAUCCUAAUGACAUGUCACUUGUAUUCUAGUCUAUUCCUAAGGUUCAAAUGGGCUUUUUCCUCGAUCUCACAUCUUUGCCGUCUUCCACGGAAUAUCGGAACCGAUACUCGAUGAUAGUUCAUACUCAUCAAGUAAUUCACAUAAUUACAUAUUAUUCAACAAUAACCACAAAACAUAACAUUUCAUGAUAAUAAUAAGCAUCAUAUCAUAUAAACAACAUUAAAUUGCUUAAAAUGACAAUUAUGUUACUACAUUUACACAUGAACUUACCUUGAUACAAAAUUAUUAGCAAUCGAGCCUAUUCUUCGUAAACUUUGUUUUUCUCUCGAUCGCGACUUGAAUCUCGUUUCUCUUGAUCUAUAAUGCCAAAUUAAUCUUAUUUAAUACAUACAUUCAUCAAAACAGCAUUUAAUACGAACUUUGGCAAAAUUACAUUUUUUCCCCUAAACUUUUGCAUAAUUACACUUUUGCCCCUAGGCUCGGGAAUUAAACUUCAUCCCUUAUUCAUAUGUCUUAUGACAUGCUGAUCAUUUUUUCCUUCUAUGAAAACAUAAAAUUCACACUCUAACAUGUACUUAUGACUAUUAGGUAUUUUUACCGAUUAAGCCUUUUACUCGUUUUCGCUUAAAAUCGAGUAGCACAAGUUGUCUAACAUAAUUUAAAACCUCAUAUUCUAUCAUAAAACACCAAAAUACACAAAUUUCACCUAUGGGUAUUUUUCCAAAUAUGAACCCUAGGUUGAAUUAUUGCUAGCAUAAGUUAAUUCGAUCUACCGGGAUUUCAAAAACAUAAAAAUCAUUAAAAACGGGGCAUGAAAUAACUUACUAUGAAGCUUGAAAGUUGAAGAAACCCUAAAUAUGGGGAGAGGUAAAAUUCGGCAGCAACAAUAUGGAGAAGAUGAUCAUUUUGUGUUAUUUUUCCCAUUUUAUUUCAUUUAAUAUGCAAAUGACCAAAAUGCCCUUACUACUAAACUUUCAAAAAAUUCCAUCCAUGUCCAAUUUUUGUCCAUAGACUUAGAAAUUGGUCAAAUUGGUAUUUAAGACCUCCUCAUUAAUAUUCCAAAGCAAUUUCAUACUAAAAACUCCUAGAAUGCAAGUUUUGCAAAUUAUUCGAUUUAGUCCCUAAUUUCAAUUUAAGCACUUUAGGCAUAGGAUUUCAUCACGAAAUUUUCACACAAUCAUGCAAUCAUAUCAUAAACAUCAAAAUAAUUAUAAAAUAAUUAUUUCUAUCUCAGAUUUGUGGUCACAAAACCACUAUUCCGAUUAGGCCCUAAUUCGGGAUAUUACAAUAAGUUAAUUGCUUAAUUUGUAUUAGAUAUUGUAAUUAUUUGAGUUUAUUUUUUUUACUUAACUAAUAUUUAGAUACUGUUUAUACUUAGAUAUUGUAAAUAUUUAAUUUUAUUUUUACUAAAUUAAUAUUUAGAUGCUAAUUUGUAUUAGUUUAUCAAAUUGAACUAAAAAUGUUACUAAAUUUAUGAUAAAAGUUAUAAAUUCUAUAAAAAUUAAAUUAAAAGAAAACUUUGGAGUUAAUAAAGGACUAAAAAUGAUUAUCUUUUUAAAAAUAUUUUAAAAUUUUAGAGUUAGGAAUAAAUUGAUAGAUUUUUAAAAUUUUAAGGGCUAAAGUUAUUAAUUUUUUUAGAAUUAGAACUAAAAUGAUAUAUUUUGUAAACAUUGAAGGUUGGAUUUGUUAAAAUUUAUAUUUAGGAUCAAAUUAAUGGAAUGUACAAACAUUAAAGGGUAAUUUUGUUACUAUACCAAUAAAAAAAGCCCAUGUCAGCUCAAAGGGAUUAAAAUAUGGGUAAACUACACCAACAGUUACUCAACUUUGGGGUAGUUGACAAAACAGUUACUCAGGUUUCAAUUCAGUCACUCAACUUUCGAAAAAUAACAAAACAGUCACCACUAACCUUUUCCGUUACAAAUGUAACGGAGCUACCGUUUUCUGUUAACGGAGCUGCCAUUUUUCAUCCCCUAUCACUGCUCUCCCAUCCCUCUCCCUCUUUCCCACCACCCCCCUACUUUGAUUCUCUCUCCCUCCCCCCUCUUCCCCACCAUGUUGCACCAAACUAGGGAACCACAUCUUCACAUUUGGUAAGCACAAAAUCAAGCCUAGCAAGUUUGGGUGUUUCAUAUUGUUCACCUUCCUUAAUUCCCAUCACAAACCCAAGAAAAUAAAAUCUCAAAAAAUAAUCCAGGCUACCUUGUUGCAGCCACCAAAUUCGAAUAAAAUGUCAGAUUAGUCUCCCAUAAUUCUCCAAAUUUCAUGGGUGCAUAUUUAGUGUUUAUCUGAACUUUUUAAUUCAUUCCCUUAUCCCUCUUUAGAGGAAAUGUAAUCUACAAAAAAUCUCUCAAGUAUAAACAUUCUUUCUUAGUCCUUUUCCUUGUAACCCCACAAUGGAGCUUUGGACUCUUACAUAGGCAGAAUUUCAUUCUUUUCCUACGGCACAUCCCUGGCCCAUAAAUUUUCAUUUGAACUUUGCAACUAAAAUCUCUAAACCCAAGUCCAAGUUUUAACCACUAUUUGGAUUCAAGGUAGAUUUUUUUCCCUUUACUAGUAUGUAGAAGUUAUCAUAUUGUUAAAUUUUGUAACUUUGAUUUAAACCCAUAAUCCUAAUCCUUCAUAGGUUUAUAUGAAUUCAAACAUCAAUCAUUUUAGGCAUCAACACAACAAAACUAAACAAUGGAAAAAAAAGACAAAGAUAAAGAGAUUUGAGAUAUACCGUGAAAACGAUGCCAAAAGCCAACAAAUACUAAACAAGGAAGCCGAGAACAUCCCACUUGGGACUUUUCAUAAAUCUGGCUGAACACCUGGAAGAUUCGGGAAUAACUUACCAUCAACCAAAA